RNAcentral lists this ribosomal RNA (348 nucleotides) under uncultured Coprococcus sp. RNAcentral describes it as "partial 16S ribosomal RNA". Lineage: Bacteria; Bacillati; Bacillota; Clostridia; Lachnospirales; Lachnospiraceae. The record is from RNAcentral.
GGAGUCUGGGCCGUGUCUCAGUCCCAAUGUGGCCGUUCACCCUCUCAGGCCGGCUAUGGAUCGUCGCUUUGGUGGGCCGUUACCCCGCCAACUGGCUAAUCCAACGCGGAGCCAUCCUGUACCACCGGAGUUUUUCACACAGAGCCAUGCGGCUCCGUGCGCUUAUGCGGUAUUAGCAGUGAUUUCUCACUGUUAUCCCCCAGUACAGGGCAGGUUCUCCACGCGUUACUCACCCGUCCGCCACUAAACUAUAAAGAAUCACUCCGAAAAGAUCUUCUGAAUAGUCCCGUUCGACUUGCAUGUGUUAGGCACGCCGCCAGCGUUCAUCCUGAGCCAGGAUCAAACACU